AACAGACAGCUACUAGCCAGUAGACGGGAGGCAACAAAUGAUCGCGUUUUAAUACAUUAUUUAUCACCUGUUCAAUUCAAACAUCUUUCUUGUGCAGCUCAUCAGUUCAGCAACACUGAAAGCCUCUUACUCACUCGCUGCUGUAUCAAUACAGACAACAAAGGUGUCCUGAUACUACCGAAGCAGUCACUGAUUACCUGAGAACUUCUUGGUUUUUGCCUUUAGUAUUCUGUUUGGAGCACUCUUUUUCUGGGUCAAGCCAUUUCAGUGGUGGAAACAACCUUCUUUCAUUCUCAAGCAUACACGGCAGCACUCUAUACGUUGAGAGGAUAUGGGUUUGAACACCGGCAGGUGUACGAACUCCCAACAUGCUGGGGAGAUGUAUUUGUCAUGUUGUUAACUGAGAUGUGUGUGACUUGGCUCUUGCAAAUGUUUCCUUUAGGGCUGAAAACUCUCCAAGACCCAGCUAAGGCUUCAUGUCCCUUUGCAAAGCUGUGCCCACCUGGCCAUUUUCAAAGUGCUGGAGGUUGGUCUGGGGCCAAGCAUCUCAGGUUUCUUAAAGGCCAGGGCUCUUUCUAUUUGCCAUGGUGGAUGGUGUGGAGUCAUUACUGUGCUAUAGUAGUCAUGACUGCCAUUUAUAAAGCUACCUGUCCUUAUCUGAGAAAAGAUCCUUUAUGCAUAUGCAAAUGUAUCUCCCUUUUCUUGGUUUGUAUACCUCUCCUUUGUGCUGUAUAGUAACCAUUGAGGGAUGUUCAGAAUCCAAACUUCGUCACACAUUAUUGCUCUAAGUAAUAAUGGAUUUGGAAUCUAAAUCUGGAGUUCACUGGUAGGAAUCAGUGAACCUUGUUCCUCUUAUGUACAUGUAACAAUGUCCCCUGUCAACAACUGUCAGUAGAAACACAUGUGGGGGAGAAUAGUAUUAAUUAUAUUCAAUUCCAUGUCAUAAAGGAGUGAUCCAUAUAAUCACCACCAUGUUUUGUACAUAUAAAAAUAUUUCCUGUAAAUAUACACAGGCAAGUGCAUUGCCAUUAUCCAGGAUCCAGGUGGGAAAAGAUAAAGUCAAGGACUUUAGUUUAUUCCAAGUGCAUAUUUUAGUUCUGGUAAAGGAGUUAAUACUUUCAGGGAUUUGUGACACAAUUAUAGAUCUAAUUACUUAAGUUCCUGGUACCAAGUAGGUUAUUUCUACCUGAUCUUCAAAGCCCAGACUCCCCAAGACAGAGACGUACAACCUUGGCCAAGUCAGUAUUAAGCAAAUGAUUUAACAUCUAAUGAGUUAAGAGGUUCCCUAAAAUUAUUUUCCAAUCCUGGUGUCCAGGAACCCAGGGAAGAAUCUAGUCAUGGGUGUGCAUUUAUUUAAUAGAGAUUGAAGAAAAUCACUUGGAAGCUAAGAGUGUUGGUAUUCUAAUAAAAGAAUAGAUUUAGCUUAUAAGAAAAAAAAUCUGGAUUUUUGGAGAAAUUGUUUUUCAUUUAAUCAGAAGCACAUGACAGAAAAAGGAAGCACAUUUGUAUAUAGUGGCAACUAUAUUUCUGAUAAUAAAUUUCAUGAAAUGUUUUCUGUACCAAUCAGAAUAGGCAGCUGAGAACCUUCCUCUCUGAAAAUAAGACAGUUAUUCAAUGAGUACAUUCUUAGGAAAGCUUUCUCACUUUCUUUCAUGAAAAUAUUAGAUUUUGGAAGUUUAAAAUAACUGUAUACCUGUGGAUAGCCUCGAUUCAUGUAACUACAUUCAGGUCAGAUCUUUUAUAAGAAUAGUUAUUGUUGAUAAAUAUAUGGUAUUUUCAAAAAGCAUUUUUAGAUAUCCAUUUAUGGAAGCUUUUUAGAGGAUUAAGUUCUUCCUUUGGUUCUUAGUUUCCUUUCUCAUGUGAGUAGCAGCAGAAGAAAGCAACCAGCCAUUUGAAUUAGCUUAUUACAAAAUGUGGAGUAUGUAUAAACUUUAAAUGAUAUAAUAUUUGGAUUAAUAAAACAGAAUAUAAACACUAUAGAACAGUCAAAAACUACUAUUCUUGAAGCCAGAAAAAAAUCAUUUGGAGACAUAUAACAUAUUAAAAAUAUGGGGACAUAUAACAUAUUAAAAAUGCAAUAGCAGAGAUUGAACUGAUUGACUCACAAUUCUAUAAUUUAUGGAAGAAAGAAAAACAUUAGAGGGUAAGUUUAAGCUGUUUUGAAGACACUUUCCCUUGGUUUUCUGAUAUGUUCUUUUCAAAUAUUCUGAAAAUUUAAGAAGUAUGUGUUUCAGGUACUUAUGGCUAAGUUUUGAUAUUUGAUUGGGUUAUUCCAUAUUUUCAUCUUUCCAAAAAGAGUUUAUGUUUUAACACUUUCAGGAUGUUAAAGAUGUCCUCAAAAUGGUUCAUUGGACAUGGUGAGUGUCAAUGAAUAUUUACUGUAUAAUGAGAUCUGAGGUUAACAACAAUAAAACUGCAAAUCAGAAUAGAAAUAUGUUUCCUAACUUUUCCAUGUAAACAAUAUUUCAAUGUGUAUAAAAGUGUUUAGUUCCUCAGUUUUGUGCUACAUAUGAUUUGAAGCAGUCUGACCCGGAUGGCACCAGAUUGAAUCAGUCUUCCCACUCCACGAGGGCUCCAUGUUUAUCAAGGUCUCUUCCUUCUAAAACUGGGAGCCCUGUUAGGAUUAGCAACAUGUUCUAAGAUGGGCCCAUAGGGUACUUGCCUCUGUGCCUUGCUAACCAAGCUUAGGAUUUGACAAUGGGCAUGAAAUGUUCAUAAAGAAUUGCUUUGAUGAUGCUUCACAAACAGAAAGAAGGUCUCUGGGGGAGGAAGGAAGGUUGGGGAGGGGCUGGAAUUUUAUCUUACCUUCUCAUGUGUUCCUAUUGGGGAAAGAAAAACCAGGAAAUCCCUUGAAGCUCUGAGAAUCAGACAAUACCAGGCUUCCAGCUGGACACUACAGAAGCCAAGUGCCACACCCCACUGCAGGUCUCAGUGGGGCCCCAGGACUUCACAUCUUUAACAAGUCUGAGUGGUGCUGAGGAUGUGGUUAUGGGGACUGUUCCCUUCCCAGGGUUAGGGCAACAACUAAAAGAGAAAGAUGCUGACAGUCCAUGGUUUGUUAGGCUAAAACAGGCCUGCCUGGAUCUCACACUCUUUUGCAUCUCUUCUCUGAACCUGGGGGCUUGACAUGAACUUCUGGAGAUGCCUGGCCACUCUGGGAUGAGGUAAGAGGCUCCAGAGUCAUCAUCACUUUGAAACUAUUUUGAGGAAGAUCCACCUCAGUGUCCCUAGAUUAUAGUCACUGAGGUAAGACACAACCUCGACAUUUCCUAGCCAGACAUCUUGGCAGAUGAUUUAACCUCCGUGCCCCUAAUUUCCUCAUCUACAAAUGGGAAGAACAAGAAUUAGCUGCUUCCUGGACUGUAGUCCAUGAACAUGGUAUGUGUAAAGUAGUGGCUCAUAGCAAGCAAGAGAAUUAGUCAGAAAAAAGGCAGUUCAGAGGGUACAAAUGAGGAGGUUACAAUGCAGGAACUACACACAGAAGAGUAUAAAAAUGUUCAGGUACUCAGAGAGGAAACUAAGCCUCUGGAGGUCAGAGAGAUCCACAGCUUGCAGGAGGACCACCCUGGAAAGAGCUACUGUAGUCAUAUAAGGGAUAAGCCACUGCCCAGGAUUCUGCAUCAGUGUGAGAUUGUGGUAAAAUAUAUAUAUGCUGGCAUCUCUUUCUUCCCCCUGCUGUUCUUCAAGGUCUCUGAUUAGCAAUAGCAGAAGGCAAGAGGACCAGCUACAGUGUGCAGGAGUCUGCCUCCCACAGGGCAGAGCAGAGAGAGAAACACAUCAAGGAUGGAGCAGUGGCAGGUGGGGGGUCUGGAACACAGUGCCGGAUAGGUGUGUAGUUGCUACUGGAUGAAGAUUUACACCAGUUUCUUGGAAAUUUCAAUUUAUGCUUGUGGUAUACUUUCAAUCUUAAAGGUAUUUCAUAUCUCAGGGGAUGUUUGCACCAACACUCUAAAACACCAUGUCAUUUGGAGUUCAAGUUACACGAGCACUCUAGUCAUUAUCAAAGUGUGGGAGAAUCUGUGAUGUGGCAGACUUGAAUACUUUCUCUCUGCCCAGUGCAGCAUUCCUGGAAGUGGCUUCUCCCUUAGAACAGAAAGCAAGUUCAGUCACUUGGCCCUGACUCGAUGAAAUUAAUGUUUGGUCUAUUGAUCAGGCAGGUGUUACCUGGGUGUGUCGGGUGGGGAAAGACACAUCUAGCACACUCAGAACAGCAAACAUUUGUGAUAUGUUGACUUUGUCUUAUUUAUAUCAUGCAGCAAUAAAUGUGUUUGUUGUUGCUAAGUCCCUAAGCCAUAUCCCUUUCAGAAGCUAUCAGACUGGCUGGGCCAAGAGCACAGAGGGAGACUCUUUUCCUGGAGUGGUGUAGAAAAGCCUGGAAGCCUGGCAUCUCUCUGAAAUGCUGUAUCAAAGGCCCAGCCCAGCACACAGGGCAGUGGGUAUACGAGGCCUGCCUCUGAGAAUCCUCCAAGGAGGCCUCGAGGAGCCAAGGCACACUUAAGCUUGUCUCCAAAGAACCCAAAACUCAUCCCAGACUUGCUUUGUCUGUUUAGCAAACUCACUGCACACCUCACCUGUCUUUGCGCCUGCCGUCUAGGAGGGUCUUUGAAAUUUAUUUUCUCCUUUUAGCCUGCUGUAUUUUUAAUGUCUGAGUGAAAGAACAAAGGAAGGCGAACACCAGACAAGAUCGUUUCAUUCCUCCAUGAGCUGCGGUGUAGCUCCGCUCAAGCUCAGCUAACAUCAAUGUUUUAAAAUUCCGUCUUUGCUAGAGAACCGGUGCUGGGGUAGUCAUCCACGCCAAAGUCAGGGCCCUGUUUCUGCCUUUCAUUUGGGGACAUAAAAGGCCCGUGCAUCAAUCAUUAACAAUCUAUUAACACUAGCAGCUCAGAGAGGUUUUCCUGGUAUGGUCAACCUCAUUGGAAGAAAUUCCUGCUGCCCAGCUGGCCGUCUGUCCGUGUGAUCCACCCAUACUGGCUGUUUUCAGCUUUGAAAGGGCUCACUGACUCCUCUUUCAUCUCUCCCUGAGUAAUAGAUACCUGGUAGGCUGGCUCUCCUCCUCCCCCACUGUCAGCUUCCCCACCUGCCUCCUCAGACUUCUGGCUUGAAGAACCGCUUGCGUGAACACUGACACUAUUGAUUGUGUGUAAGUGGCGUGCGGGGCUGCUAGACAUCUACCUGGAUAUGCAGGCAAGAGGAUAGGGCUGGUUCAUCUACAUGAGCAGAGCAGGGAGGGUCUUGGAAGUCUCUGCUUGGUGUUCCCGACUGUUGAAUUUAAUUGGUUUAAACCAGUCGGCAGGAAGAGGUCUAGCUCAUCAAUCAGAACCUGCUUUGGAAAAGGCUGAUGGAUUGGGUGCACAUCUGGAAGUUCUGCAAAACCUAGAGAGUUUUGGUCUAGACUUUCCUUUCCUCCCUCUGUGACAAAAUACACACCACACAAAUGUUACCAUUGUGACUACUUAAAGAUAGACUCAGAGACAUUGAAGCAGCUCCAUGGCAUUGCACCACACCCACCCACAGCUUUCAUGAAUCUUCCUAACUUAAAGACUCUCCAUGCAACCUUAGUCAGUAAAUCAGCCUGUCUCAGCCCCCAUUGUCCUUAAAAACCACUGUUUGACCUCUCUCUGAGUUUAACCCUCAGCUUUAUAUAUGUGAAGUCACACAGUGACUGGCUGUGACUGGCUCCUUUCAAUGCACAUGCCAGCAUUUUAUAAUAAAUAAUUCUAUAAUAAGUAAAAUAUUUAUAAUAUAUUUUAUUAUAAAAAACUAUUUAUAAUAAGCAAAUAGUAUUUAUUUAGUCAUUUAUUUACUUUACCACAGUCUGCAUGUCCCCUCACUUACCCAUGGAUGUCCUGUUGUCUCUAACUUUGGCCGAUUGCGAACGGUGUUAUUAUAAACACGUGUGCAGAGACUGCCCUCCAGAAUCUCUGCUCUUGAUUGUCUGGGUUAGAAACCCAGAGGUAGACCACCAGAGCACUUGUCAGUCCUGUGUUUAGAAUUUUCAGGCUCUGUCAUACUGCUUUCCAUACCAGUUAUCCUGUGCCUUACCUACACCCAGCACUACACGGGAGGUCCAAGUUUUGUAGGGAUUACUGAAGUGCCAGUGCUCUCCCCCCAAUGCUUUUUUCCCCUCCUCCUCAGCGGAGGGGAAGACCACAGGCAACUUAAUGGGAUAUUUAGCUGAACUCACCCCUCAGCUGCCUCUUGUAUGUGAUUGAUAUCUAGAAGCUCUGUGGCAUUUCUUUCAAAGUAGAGUCUCAUCCUGGUCCAGCUGGCCCCUCCCCAGUGUCCUCCAUGUUCCUUCUGCUGCAGGGUGCCCUGGCAUUUUCUUCCUUCAACAAUGAAAUGAGAUUCCCUGGGAGGUGUACAUGCCAUGUGGUGUGUCCGUUUGCCUAUUAUGGACAAGGGUUGCUUCUGCCUUCUAGAUAAUGUAAAUAACGUUGUUAACAAUGUAGGUUUACAAAUAUCUUCUCUGGUUCCUCUGGACCCGCUGGCAGGUGGGAAUGAAGUUUCUGUAUCUUCAGUGCUGACUUUGAUACUGAGUCAUCAAAUGACCUUCACCAGGAAGGAACCAAGAACCCAGUGAGAGGUGACUAGUAUGACGAACCCGUGCCAAAACCCAUACUUAGCUGCUGAAAGCUCCUUGCCGGGUUGCCUCUGAAGUUAAUGGCAGAGUCUUUGAAAAUGACCUUAGAAGCAAAUCAUAAGCAACCGAGGACAUGAAACUACCUCAAGUCCGUCUGUUGGAGUGCGAGCCACCUCCAAGCUUCCAUUCCCAUGUAAAACAGAAGAUAUGAUUUAUAAUUUAUAGCGCAUCGGUACAGCCCUGAUUGAAGCAAACCACUUUGAUGAAGAGUUGGUUUCAUGCUAGUGUCGUGGAACACCACUCCAAAUCAGAAAAUAUUUAGAACUCCAACUCCUCUGCUCUGACUUUGAAGUAAAGAGAUUUGUAUUUUAUGUGCUUCUCUGAACGAAAAAAAAAUAAAGAAAAAUGUGUGUACACUCCAACAUGCAUGUGGUAGGAAUAUGAAAACAUUUACAUGUGUAUCAGCACCAAAAUGUAAUUACUGCAUUAGGCACUGAAAAUAUUUAUAGACUCAUAUCUCAUGUGGAAGACCUGGUUCCAAUAAUUCUCAGAAAAUUGUGAAAUUCAGACUUUGUUUUCUUGGGACUAACUUAAUUUAUUUGAAAUUGACAACACAUGAAGGACAAAAAUCAAAGCCCGUCAACUUUCCACCACCCCAGCUAAUGACCUAUUAAAGUUGUGAGUAUAUACUGUGUCUCUAUUUGUAGGUGAACAUGUCAUGGGGAAAGAAGGAAUGAGGUACUUUUCUCAUCAUUGUAACAAAUAACUGGAAAGCAGCAACUUCAGGGAGAAAUUGAUUUGGGGGAUUCACAAUUUCAUGGUGGGGUGAGAGAGUUCCAUGGUGGUAAGAGGGUGAGUGAUUUGUUCACAUAUUGAUGAACCAGGAAGCAGCCAGAACAUGCAAGGAAACUGGGGGCCACAAGGCUCCCUGACCUAAGCAUCCCAUUCCCUUGAACCUGACUCCACCUCCUAAAGGUUCCCCAAACUUCAAAAACAGCAUCACCUAAGGGGUACAGAGUAUUCAAGCACAUGAGCUUGUAGGAUAUAGUCCACACUCAAGGCUAAGAGUUAGCCUCUGGCCUCCAUAGGCUAAAGGCCAUCUCAUAAUAUGUAAUAUAUUUAAUCUAACUUCAAAAGUCCCCAAAAUCUCAUAGCCAUGAGCCCCUGUGAGAUAACAAAAAAAAAUCACAGUCUCAUGGCACAGAGGAAACAUUUAUAUCCCAAUCAAGAGGAAUGGGGUACAGGGAGAAAAGUUCAGCCAAGACCAAACCCCAGCAGAGCAAAUACCAUUGCAACUCUUCAUUUAUAGCAUUUAGGUCUUCUGGUAGCAUAGUCUGGUCUCUAGUAGGCUUAGGUAUAGUUCUGUCUUGAAGCAGCUCCACGCAGUGUUGCCACCUUUUCUCAGCAGAAGUUCCAUGUUUGUGAUAUGUCCUGGUGUCUCCAUUGCAACUCAGGUUUCAUUUUCAGGGUUACAAGCAAGGACCUCUCAGGUUCUUUUGCAAAGGAUCUAACAUUGCUAUAUACUAUAGUGCUUGGUUUCACCAGCUUAUUUUCCGGAUCUUCAGUGUAAGGCUUCAUGACCCCAUAACUCCUGCAUUCUGCAUACCUACAAACCCAGCAAGCAGCAUCGAUGCUCUGCUCACCUCACUGAAGAUGUAGACACCUCUCACUUGGGCCAGUACUAUAGUGGCGUGCAACUGAAAACACAGUGGGAAAACACUGCCCCAGCUUCUGUGUUCCACGAGGACACAUGUGUGCUUGGGACUUUGUGAACAAAGGAAUGGCCAACUCAGAGCUGAAGAAUCAUUGUGGGAAGGUGAUGGGAUGGGGUGCAUUCGAGACAAUGCAACUGCAAAGAUCCUAUGACUCAAGCACUUAGGACGAGAGUCCUGGAAGGGUGGCCAUAGGAAGGACAUCAUACUGGGGUUCGAGAACAAAUGAGAACUAGAGAAAGGUACUGGCUUGAGAAGAAGGCAAUGACACAAGACUCAUUCUUACCUGAGAAUGGAAGGAAAAUUGGGGGAGAAGAACUGAGCGUGAAUUUCAAGACAGCCGACAGGAGCUUCUGCUUAAGAGCGAUGGAAUAGAGGAGUCGAUAGUGGUGGUGUUAGGACUGGAAGGGAAAACAUGCUCAUCCUCAGGACAUAGAUUUAAGAAGCUUUUUUUCUGGGGCUGGAGAUGUGGCUCUGUGCUUAAGAGCACUGGCUGCUCUUCCAGAGGACCCAGGUUCAAUUCUCAGGACCCACAGGGUAGCUCAAGACUGUCUGUAAUUCCAGGGGUUUUCCAAUACCCUCACACAGACAUACACACAGGCAAAACAGCAAUGAAUAUAACAUAAAAAUAUUAAAAAAAAAAAGCUUGUUUCUGACAGGUAUGCUCAUGUGACUUGUUUCAGCCAAUGAAUUGUGAGCAGAAGUGACAUGACCAUUCAGGAUAGAGGCUUUAAGGGGUGAUGGUGACUGGUUCUGCUAUUGGUCUAUCAUGUCAAAUUCUGGCUGUUUAUUACUCCUAGGUCUCUGGGUGGGAGAGCCCCAGAGCAGAGCCCAGAUGGCCUACUGGAUCCAGAACAUGAGGCAGAAUCAUCAGAAACCCUGUGAUGGGGCAAGUGUUUGCCUAGGCAUCAGAAUUAAGCCUGCCCUACAGAGACAAGAGGGGAAAGGAUGUAGGUAGGGAAGAAAGGAGAGGGAGGUAAUUCUCCAGACUAUCUGCCCAGAGCUUACCUCCAGCUCUCCAGUCCAGCUCAGCCUUGCUAGUGUGUCUCCAGCUCCCAAUUCCAACUGAUGCUUUUCAGUAUGACACGGAGGAAAGUGAGCAUGCCUUCUGCGAGUGUGACGCUGAAUGGCAGUGAAGUACUUGAGCGAAGAAACAGUCUCUGCAAGGGCUUCCUCCACAUUGUUAUUCUGCACAGAUGUCUGCACGCACUUGACAUAAGAAGAUUCAAUUAAACUGUCUGGCCACUGUUUCAUGAUACAACCACAGAGUUGUUCUAAAGGGUCAAGGCAUGAUGGGAAUAUUUAACUCCUGGUAGGAGCAGAGAGUAAUUGGAGCAAGCUGGAAGAUGUUUCAGCAUCUGAAGGAUGUGGUGAUCAUUUAGCAGAGGGGCUUAUGGGCAAGACUGGCCACAGGGGAAUAAUGACAUAAUGCACUUGUCAAAGGAGCCUAGGAGCAUUGCACCCUCGACAAGGACAGAGGGAAAAGAUCAGAAACCCCAGUUUAACUGGGCAUGCACACCUUUAAUACCAGCACUUGGGAGGCAGAGGCAGAUGGAUCUCUGAGUUCAAGGCUGACCUGGUCUACAGAGUGAGUUCCAGGACAUUCAGGGCUACACAGAGAAAUCCUGUCUCAAUGCCCCUCCCUCCAACAAAAAGUGUUGUAGGUCCUCGAAGUUGAGAGCUCUCUGACUCAGCCUUAUUAUGCCCUACUUCCUGUUUUUGCUGGAUUAUUCUACUCAAUCAAUGCUGGAUGCCCUGAUUACCAGAAUGAAGGUGAAAAAAUUAAUAUAGAGAAGGCGAAGGCUUGCUUUAGGUGUCAGGGACAAGGAUGAUAGGCAAAUGUCCUCAGGUGACAGGUAAGUAUGCCAGACCUAAGGACCUACCUACAACUGGAGGCUAUAAGGGGCACAGUUGCCUUUCUCUCGUACUAGUAUUGACAUGUGCAGAAUAGUAUGUGGUUGAUGUUUUCAUUUACUUACUUAUUUUUGCCAUGCUAGGGGAGGUCAAACUCAGGGCUUUGUGUAUACCAGAUAAGGCCUCUACUGCCGAGCUACAUCUCCAAUCCUAAAAGGAGAGUGGGCUCUGGAGCAGGGAGGCUUGUGGAGGGGGACACACACACACACAAAGCACCCCUUCUCUGUUCACUGUAGGAACUCCAAACUUUCCUGUCUGUUUCCCAUCAUGCAUUUCCACACUCAGUUCCAAUUUCAUAUUGCUUUAGAGCAGUGGUUCCCAACCUUCCUAAUGCUGUGACCCUUUAGUACAAUUCCUCAUGUUGUGGUGACCCCCAGUCAUAUAAUUACUUUCAUUGAUACUUCAUAACUGUAAUUUUGCUAUUGUUAAUGAAUUGCAGUGUAAAGAUCUGUGUUUUCUGAUGGCCUUAGAUGACCCCUGUGAAAGGUCAUUCAACCCCCAAAGGGGUUGCGACCCACAAGUUGAGACUUGCUGCUUUAGACAGUUCUGUUUCUUCUCCACAUCCUCUGGACUUCUGGAAGAGGACUGUCUUUGAGGGGCUGCCACUUUGGCCCUGACCUGCCCCUACAGAUCCUAGGGACUGUAUGGAGAUUGUUUAGCCAUGGUUCCAAUCAUCUGAGAGCCCCAUUGUAGCACAGGGAACCAUCAAGUCCUUGGCCUUCUGGCCGAUGUCCCAGUUUCCAUCCAUGUGGGGAUUCAGAGCUCAACCCCCGGCACAUCUCCAGGUUCUCUCCUCCUUUCCCAAAGCCUACUUGAAAAAUUUCUAGAAACGAUGUGCCUCUUCCUGGUCACUCUUGCC
RNAcentral lists this long non-coding RNA (11065 nucleotides) under Cricetulus griseus (Chinese hamster). RNAcentral's name for it is "lncRNA (ENSCGRG00015040695.1)". The record is from RNAcentral. Lineage: Eukaryota; Metazoa; Chordata; Mammalia; Rodentia; Cricetidae.